UUCGAGUUGCACGCUCUAGACCCGAAGCGGAGUGAUCUAGCCAUGGGCAGGUUGAAGCGGCUGUAAGAGGUCGUGGAGGACCGAACCCACCAGGGUUGAAAACCUGGGGGAUGACCUGUGGUUAGGGGUGAAAGGCCAAUCAAACUCCGUGAUAGCUGGUUCUCCCCGAAAUGCAUUUAGGUGCAGCGUCGUGUGUUUCUUGCCGGAGGUAGAGCACUGGAUAGGCGAUGGGCCCUACCGGGUUACUGACCUUAGCCAAACUCCGAAUGCCGGUAAGUGAGAGCGCGGCAGUGAGACUGUGGGGGAUAAGCUCCAUGGUCGAGAGGGAAACAGCCCAGAGCAUCGACUAAGGCCCCUAAGCGUACGCUAAGUGGGAAAGGAUGUGGAGUCGCAGAGACAACCAGGAGGUUGGCUUAGAAGCAGCCACCCUUGAAAGAGUGCGUAAUAGCUCACUGGUCUAGUGAUUCCGCGCCGACAAUGUAGCGGGGCUCAAGCGUACCGCCGAAGUCGUGUCAUUGCAGCAUGAGGGCCAACGCCCGCUGUGAUGGGUAGGGGAGCGUCGUGUGCCGGGUGAAGCAGCCGUGGAAGCGAGUUGUGGACGGUUCACGAGUGAGAAUGCAGGCAUGAGUAGCGAUUCACACGUGAGAAACGUGUGCGCCGAUUGACUAAGGGUUCCUGGGUCAAGCUGAUCUGCCCAGGGUAAGUCGGGACCUAAGGCGAGGCCGACAGGCGUAGUCGAUGGAUAACCGGUUGAUAUUCCGGUACCCGCUGUGAAGCGUCAAACAUUGAAUCCAGUGAUGCUAAGCCCGUGAAGCCGUUCCGGACCCUUCGGGGAAUGGAAAGUGGUGGAGCCGGUGGCCCGAGCUGGUAGUAGGUGAGUGAUGGGGUGACGCAGGAAGGUAGUCCAUCCCGGGCGGUGGUUGUCCCGGGGUAAGGGUGUAGGACGUCAGGUAGGUAAAUCCGCCUGGCUAUAGUCUGAGACCUGAUGCCGAGCCGAUUGUGGUGAAGUGGAUGAUCCUAUGCUGUCGAGAAAAGCCUCUAGCGAGUUUCAUGGCGGCCCGUACCCUAAACCGACUCAGGUGGUCAGGUAGAGAAUACCGAGGCGUUCGGGUGAACUAUGGUUAAGGAACUCGGCAAAAUGCCCCCGUAACUUCGGGAGAAGGGGGGCCAUGUCUGGUGAUGAGUCUUGCACUCUGAGCUGGGUGUGGCCGCAGAGACCAGCGAGAAGCGACUGUUUACUAAAAACACAGGUCCGUGCGAAGCCGUAAGGCGAUGUAUACGGACUGACGCCUGCCCGGUGCUGGAACGUUAAGGGGACCGGUUAGUCACAUUUCGGUGUGGCGAAGCUGAGAACUUAAGCGCCAGUAAACGGCGGUGGUAACUAUAACCAUCCUAAGGUAGCGAAAUUCCUUGUCGGGUAAGUUCCGACCUGCACGAAUGGCGUAACGACUUCUCGACUGUCUCAACCAUAGGCCCGGUGAAAUUGCAUUACGAGUAAAGAUGCUCGUUUCGCGCAGCAGGACGGAAAGACCCCGGGACCUUUACUACAGUUUGAUAUUGGUGUUCGGUUCGGCUUGUGUAGGAUAGGUGGGAGACUGUGAAGCAUGCACGCCAGUGUGUGUGGAGUCGUCGUUGAAAUACCACUCUGGUCGUGCUGGAUGUCUAACCUGGGUCCGUGAUCCGGAUCAGGGACAGUGUCUGAUGGGUAGUUUAACUGGGGCGGUUGCCUCCUAAAGAGUAACGGAGGCGCCCAAAGGUUCCCUCAGCCUGGUUGGUAAUCAGGUGUUGAGUGUAAGUGCACAAGGGAGCUUGACUGUGAGACCGACGGGUCGAGCAGGGACGAAAGUCGGGACUAGUGAUCCGGCGGUGGCUUGUGGAAGCGCCGUCGCUCAACGGAUAAAAGGUACCCCGGGGAUAACAGGCUGAUCUUCCCCAAGAGUCCAUAUCGACGGGAUGGUUUGGCACCUCGAUGUCGGCUCGUCGCAUCCUGGGGCUGGAGUCGGUCCCAAGGGUUGGGCUGUUCGCCCAUUAAAGCGGUACGCGAGCUGGGUUUAGAACGUCGUGAGACAGUUCGGUCCCUAUCCGCUGUGCGCGUAGGAAUAUUGAGAAGGGCUGUCCCUAGUACGAGAGGACCGGGACGGACGAACCUCUGGUGUGCCAGUUGUUCUGCCAAGGGCAUGGCUGGUUGGCUACGUUCGGGAGGGAUAACCGCUGAAAGCAUCUAAGCGGGAAGCCUGCUUCGAGAUGAGUAUUCCCACCUCCUUGAGAGGGUAAGGCUCCCAGUAGACGACUGGGUUGAUAGGCCGGAUAUGGAAGCCCUGUAAGGGGUGGAGUUGACCGGUACUAAUAGGCCGAGGGCUUGUCCUCAGUUG
Molecule: ribosomal RNA, 2372 nt
Filed under: Streptomyces albidoflavus
Lineage: Bacteria; Bacillati; Actinomycetota; Actinomycetes; Kitasatosporales; Streptomycetaceae
Description: partial 23S ribosomal RNA
Rfam family: Bacterial large subunit ribosomal RNA
Source: RNAcentral